Molecule: small RNA, 129 nt
Filed under: Serratia entomophila
Lineage: Bacteria; Pseudomonadati; Pseudomonadota; Gammaproteobacteria; Enterobacterales; Yersiniaceae
Description: RtT sRNA
Rfam family: RtT RNA
About the family: This family represents a bacterial cis-regulatory element known as RtT RNA. The exact function of RtT is unknown although it is thought that it may be involved in changing the cellular response in relation to amino acid starvation.
Source: RNAcentral
UACGCCCGUAGUUUAUGAGGAUGAGCACCUCCGAAGGAGGUUUGAGCCGAGCGCAGCGAGACCACGUUGCUUUGGCAACGGCCCGCAGGGCAAGCAUCGCAGAUGCGCGUCAUCCUCUCUCGCCGACCA